This is a long non-coding RNA of Eupeodes corollae, 2645 nucleotides long. RefSeq lists it as uncharacterized. The transcript is spliced from 2 exons. Lineage: Eukaryota; Metazoa; Arthropoda; Insecta; Diptera; Syrphidae. The record is from RefSeq and is a predicted model, not a curated record.
AGCUAUCGGUAUCUUCCAUGCGAAAGACAUUCGCCAGUAAAAUCCUAGAAUUAAAAUAAAACAUACCACAAAGUAUCUUGUCGUGUCAUAUAUUGUUUAAAAAGUACUUAUCUGACUAAUUCGCAUGUUUUUGGGCCCGGCUAGAUGAUCCUUAAGUGGGUUCGCGUCCCACGUUGGUUUAAGGUUGACGAAGACAAAGAUCAAUUUUUUAACUAUGUUUACAUUCUUAGAAUAUACAUUUUUCACUAAACGCAUAUCAUAUUCACAAACACAUAAUUUGACUUAUUUGCUAUUUAUUUAUUUCAACACUUAACGAUUCUAUACUGACACAACACCAUUAUGCAAACAAAUGACUACAUAUUUAAUUAUUUAUUUAUUUAUUAUAAUUGACGAUAGACUCAAUUGAAUCAGUUUUUUUUAUUUUAAUGACUAAUUCAUCGGAAAAUGUGUCUUCUUAAUGCUUGCAAUAACUUUAUUUGACCGUUUUGAAUUUUAACAUUUUUUUAUUUAAUAUCCCGUGUAAUACAUUAAUGACUUUAAUUUAUUUAUUUAAUUUAUCUUGCCCUUUCCAUUCUUAUUCGUGCAAUAAUAAACCGAGAAGUAAGCAAUAUUACACAAAACGAUUUUUUUAUAACACUCGACUUGCAAUGACAAUAUCCCGACGGCAAAACGCAUUUUUUUUAUUUUUUUGAUUUUAAGGUUAUUGAACUCUGUAAAUUUCACGAUUUGUAAACAGAAGAUCGAACGGAUUUUUUAUUAUUAUAUUCCUGUUGUAUUGCUAUUAUGUAGGUCAAAUUAACGGAGCAACCAUAUGAUUGUCUCCCUCACACUUCCGUUAUCCCGUUUUGAUGUACUAUAAUUGCUUUGUUUACAUUUGGAAUUGAAUUUUUUUUGUCACAUUUUGUUGCAAUUAAUUGCAAAAUAAUUAAAUAAUUUCGAAGAUAGUUUCACACAUAUCAAACUUUAACUCGUAUAAAAUGAUGAACGACACACAAUCCGAUUUAAUAUAGACAAUCUACUCGGUAAUUCGCAUCUAUAUAGCACAACGACGCGCCGCGCAGCUCCGCCGCCGCCGGAAAGACUUAGCCAAAUCACGACUGUAGGUACGUACGUGGGUUCGUUUGCAUAUUUCUGGCAAUAUCCUCGCCAGAAAAAAGCAAAGCCCUGUUACAUAUUGACCAUUUAUUUACCUUCUUUAUUUAUUAAAUUAUUAAAUUCUCAAAAGACUACGACAACGACGACAACGACGAUGACGACCGACGAUAUAAACAAAAAAAAAAUGAUCGUAAUUCUUGACUUGUCAAACUGACAUAAAUGACAUCAAGGGUUACGAUAUUAGGAGUCGGUAAUGCAGGUCAGAAUUAGAGCUAAGGAUAGGUUCAGAGAGUGAGAACGGGGACAAUGAAAUCAAUGAGAAAUCUCAGUGAGAUAUCUGAGUGAUAAAUAUUCUUUUGGGAGAAUGGGGGAUGAUAGGGCAUCAAAUGUAUCCAGAGAACUGGUUGGCUGAAUGGUAUUUGCCAAUUUAGCACAAAAUGUUGACGGUUAAAGUGUCGGCCGAAAGAAAAAGAAAAUUUCAAAUCUCUUUCUUUUGAAAUCGACCAGCCACAAAACAAGGCCUUUUGCUUUGAAAUAAGCUGUUGAUACGGGUGUCUAUCGACCAAUUUUAAAUUUUUUUACCACACAAAAAAAAAAUAUAAAAAAAAAAGAAGGAAACUACAUAACUUGGAAAAGCAGUGGAAUUCAGAGACAAAGGAGGAGCUUGAGUUUGAGGAGUUCAUAGACAGGAAGAUUGAUUUAAGUUCCCUGUCUGGACAAAAAAAUCCAGUUAAGAUAAAAACCAAAAAAAAAACUAGCCGCAUAUCCAAGAGUGUUGCAGAAAGCGGGAUUGGAGCGAACCGGUAGCCGCGAGUGAUAAGGCUCCGGUAAACUUAACAGUUUGAAAAAUCGAGUUCGGUUCAAAUCGAGUUAGAUAUGCAAAAAUUUUUUUUUUAUUUCAUUUUUCGUUUUUUUUUUGUUUUUACAAUCUAUAAUUAAUUAAUUCAAUAAUUCAAAUUUUUUCUCGAAGUGGUCAUAGUAAAAAUUCAAAUUCAAAAAUCUAAUCAAAAAUUUUAAUUGCGCGAACCGUGUGUUAGUUUUCAAUUCGCGAUUAAGUUAUUUGUACUUAUAUAUAUAUAUAUCGUGUGUAUAACAAAGGCACAGAAAAACGGCACUAAAAAAAAGAAGAAAAAAGUGAUACCUCCUUAUUCUCCUGCAGCAGUGGCCACUACGAACAGAAGGACAAGGGUGAGUUUAUUUUUAAUUUUUAUAUAUGUAUGCACAAAUAUACCUACAGAUAUAUAUACGCACAAAAUUUCUUUCGCGAGGGCGGUACAAGUGGGGAUUAAAGUUUUAUUCUUGAUUGUGACAAAAGAGGAUUGUAUAUCCCAAAUUUGCGAAUAAAUCGAAGACGGGUUAAGAUUUUUUUUGAUUAAACUUCGAAUUGAAAACCGGCCAUUAGAGAUUUCAAAUUUUUUUAUUAUUGUACUUCUAAAUGUAAAUUCAAUUAUAAUAAAUCUGAGAUUUUAAUAACCUGAGUAAAUGAAGAAAUACAACUUAAAUGUAUAUUUAAUUCAUGUUUGAAAUAAAGUUGAAAUGAUAAUGGUGAA